This 253-nucleotide ribosomal RNA is filed under the name uncultured bacterium. Its description in RNAcentral is "partial 16S ribosomal RNA". It matches the Rfam family "Bacterial small subunit ribosomal RNA", at positions 524 to 776 of the family's 1533-position model. The record is from RNAcentral.
UACGUAGGUGGCAAGCGUUGUCCGGAUUUACUGGGCGUAAAGAGCGCGCAGGCGGUCGUUCAAGUCGCGUGUGAAAGCCCCCGGCUCAACUGGGGAGGGUCACUCGAUACUGAUCGACUGGAAGGCAGGAGAGGGUAGUGGAAUUCCCGGUGUAGCGGUGGAAUGCGUAGAGAUCGGGAAGAACAUCGGUGGCGAAGGCGGUCUGCUGGGCCGUUGCUGACGCUGAGGCGCGAAAGCAUGGGGAGCGAACAGG